UACGGAAGGCAGCAGUGGAGAAUAUUGCACAAUGGGCGAAAGCCUGAUGCAGCUAUGCCGCGUGUAUGAAGAAGGCCUUAGGGUUGUAAAGUACUUUCAUCGGGGAGGAAAAAACAAAACUAAUAAUUUUAUUUCUUGACGUUACCCGAAAAAGAAGCACCGGCUAACUCCGUGCCAGCAGCCGCGGUAAUACGGAGGGUGCUAGCGUUAAUCAGAAUUACUGGGCGUAAAGAGCACGUAGGUGGUUUUUUAAGUCAGAUGUGAAAUCCCUGGGCUUAACCUGGAACUGCAUUUUGAAACUGAAAUACUAGAGUAUCGUAGAGGGAGGUAGAAUUCUAGGUGUAGCGGUGAAAUGCGUAGAUAUCUGGAGGAAUACCUGUGGCGAAAGCGGCCUCCUAAACGAAUACUGACACUGAGGUGCGAAAGCGUGGGGAGCAAACAGGGAUUAGAUACC
This 454-nucleotide ribosomal RNA is filed under the name uncultured bacterium. RNAcentral's name for it is "bacterial SSU rRNA". It matches the Rfam family "Bacterial small subunit ribosomal RNA", at positions 340 to 786 of the family's 1533-position model. The record is from RNAcentral.